UACGUAGGUGACAAGCGUUGUCCGGAUUUACUGGGCGUAAAGAGCGCGCAGGCGGUCGAUCAAGUCGAGUGUGAAAGCCCCCGGCUCAACUGGGGAGGGUCAUUCGAUACUGAUCGACUCGAAGGCAGGAGAGGGUAGUGGAAUUCCGGGUGUAGUGGUGGAAUGCGUAGAGAUCCGGAGGAACACCAGCGGCGAAGGCGGCAUCCUGGACUGGUACUGACGCUCAGGAGCGAAAGCGUGGGGAGCGAUCCGG
RNAcentral lists this ribosomal RNA (253 nucleotides) under uncultured bacterium. Its description in RNAcentral is "partial 16S ribosomal RNA". It matches the Rfam family "Bacterial small subunit ribosomal RNA", at positions 524 to 776 of the family's 1533-position model. The record is from RNAcentral.